Molecule: ribosomal RNA, 390 nt
Filed under: uncultured bacterium
Lineage: Bacteria
Description: bacterial SSU rRNA
Rfam family: Bacterial small subunit ribosomal RNA
Source: RNAcentral
AUUGAACGCUGGCGGCAUGCCUUACACAUGCAAGUCGAACGGCAGCACGGGAGCAAUCCUGGUGGCGAGUGGCGAACGGGUGAGUAAUAUAUCGGAACGUGCCCAGUCGUGGGGAUAACGUAGCGAAAGCUACGCUAAUACCGCAUACAAUCUAUGGAUGAAAGCGGGGGAUCGCAAGACCUCGCGCGAUUGGAGCGGCCGAUAUCAGAUUAGGUAGUUGGUGAGGUAAAGGCUCACCAAGCCGACGAUCUGUAGCUGGUCUGAGAGGACGACCAGCCACACUGGGACUGAGACACGGCCCAGACUCCUACGGGAGGCAGCAGUGGGGGAAUUUUGGACAAUGGGCGCAAGCCUGAUCCAGCAAUGCCGCGUGCAGGAUGAAGGCCUCGG